This 502-nucleotide ribosomal RNA is filed under the name uncultured Flavobacteriaceae bacterium. RNAcentral's name for it is "bacterial SSU rRNA". It matches the Rfam family "Bacterial small subunit ribosomal RNA", at positions 88 to 588 of the family's 1533-position model. The record is from RNAcentral. Lineage: Bacteria; Pseudomonadati; Bacteroidota; Flavobacteriia; Flavobacteriales; Flavobacteriaceae.
CUAGAGACCGGCGCACGGGUGCGUAACGCGUAUGCAAUCUACCUUUCACAAAGGGAUAGCCCAGAGAAAUUUGGAUUAAUACCUUAUAGUAUAACGACUUCGCAUGGAGAUGUUAUUAAAGAUUUAUCGGUGAAAGAUGAGCAUGCGUCCCAUUAGCUAGUUGGUAAGGUAACGGCUUACCAAGGCUACGAUGGGUAGGGGUCCUGAGAGGGAGAUCCCCCACACUGGUACUGAGACACGGACCAGACUCCUACGGGAGGCAGCAGUGAGGAAUAUUGGUCAAUGGGCGCAAGCCUGAACCAGCCAUGCCGCGUGCAGGAUGACGGUCCUAUGGAUUGUAAACUGCUUUUGUACAGGAAGAAACACUCCCUCGUGAGGGAGCUUGACGGUACUGUAAGAAUAAGGAUCGGCUAACUCCGUGCCAGCAGCCGCGGUAAUACGGAGGAUCCAAGCGUUAUCCGGAAUCAUUGGGUUUAAAGGGUCCGUAGGCGGCUUAAUAAGU